CGAAAGUCUGACCGAGCAACGCCGCGUGAGUGAAGAAGGUUUUCGGAUCGUAAAGCUCUGUUGUAAGUCAAGAACGUGUGUGAGAGUGGAAAGUUCACACAGUGACGGUAGCUUACCAGAAAGGGACGGCUAACUACGUGCCAGCAGCCGCGGUAAUACGUAGGUCCCGAGCGUUGUCCGGAUUUAUUGGGCGUAAAGGGAGCGCAGGCGGUCAGGAAAGUCUGGAGUAAAAGGCUAUGGCUCAACCAUAGUGUGUUCUGGAAACUGUCUGACCUGAGUGCAGAAGGGGAGGGUGGAAUUCCAUGUGUAGCGGUGAAAUGCGUAGAUAUAUGGAGGAACACCAGUGGCGAAAGCGGCUCUCUGGUCUGUCACUGACGCUGAGGCUCGAAAGCGUGGGUAGCGAACAGGAUUAGAUACCCUGGUAGUCCACGCCGUAAACGAUGAGUGCUAGGUGUUAGGCCCCUUUCGGGGCUUAGUGCCGGAGCUAACGCAGUAAGCACUCCGCCUGGGGAGUACGACCGCAAGGUUGAAACUCAAAGGAAUUGACGGGGGCCCGCACCAAGCGGUGGAGCAUGUGG
RNAcentral lists this ribosomal RNA (578 nucleotides) under Streptococcus mutans. RNAcentral describes it as "bacterial SSU rRNA". It matches the Rfam family "Bacterial small subunit ribosomal RNA", at positions 376 to 944 of the family's 1533-position model. Lineage: Bacteria; Bacillati; Bacillota; Bacilli; Lactobacillales; Streptococcaceae. The record is from RNAcentral.